RNAcentral lists this signal recognition particle RNA (285 nucleotides) under Eutrema salsugineum. RNAcentral describes it as "Plant signal recognition particle RNA". It matches the Rfam family "Plant signal recognition particle RNA". The record is from Rfam by way of RNAcentral. Lineage: Eukaryota; Viridiplantae; Streptophyta; Magnoliopsida; Brassicales; Brassicaceae.
GCCGAGCUUGGUAACGUAAGCUUGUUAUCCGAGUGGAGGCUUAAAGGAUAGUGGAACGUUGGUUCAAGUUAUGAGGUAGGGCUCGUGUUUAUGGUUACACUGACCCGCCCAAUCCAAGCCAGGUGCUGAGUCAAGUGGUCUAGGUGAAGGCUUGAGCCAUGUGGCUCUUAGAGUGGAGGGCAACGCAUGAGACUGGUUUCACAGAGCAACGAACACUUCCCGUUUCUGUCGGUGGAUGGAUUGCGGGUUAGAGCAGGGUCAUUAGAAAUUUGGGUACAGGUUCAU